RNAcentral lists this ribosomal RNA (254 nucleotides) under uncultured bacterium. RNAcentral's name for it is "partial 16S ribosomal RNA". It matches the Rfam family "Bacterial small subunit ribosomal RNA", at positions 524 to 776 of the family's 1533-position model. The record is from RNAcentral.
UACGUAGGGUGCGAGCGUUAAUCGGAAUUACUGGGCGUAAAGAGCUCGUAGGCGGUGUGUCGCGUCGGCCGUGAAAACCUGCAGCUUAACUGUGGGCGUGCGGUCGAUACGGGCAUCACUGGAGUUCGGCAGGGGAGACUGGAAUUCCUGGUGUAGCGGUGAAAUGCGCAGAUAUCAGGAGGAACACCGGUGGCGAAGGCGGGUCUCUGGGCCGAUACUGACGCUGAGGAGCGAAAGCGUGGGGAGCGAACAGG